This 842-nucleotide ribosomal RNA is filed under the name Salinispora arenicola. RNAcentral's name for it is "bacterial SSU rRNA". It matches the Rfam family "Bacterial small subunit ribosomal RNA", at positions 62 to 919 of the family's 1533-position model. Lineage: Bacteria; Bacillati; Actinomycetota; Actinomycetes; Micromonosporales; Micromonosporaceae. The record is from RNAcentral.
UCGAGCGGAAAGGCCCUUCGGGGUACUCGAGCGGCGAACGGGUGAGUAACACGUGAGUAACCUGCCCCAGGCUUUGGGAUAACCCCGGGAAACCGGGGCUAAUACCGGAUAUGACCAUCUGUCGCAUGGUGGGUGGUGGAAAGAUUUUUUGGCUUGGGAUGGGCUCGCGGCCUAUCAGCUUGUUGGUGGGGUGAUGGCCUACCAAGGCGGCGACGGGUAGCCGGCCUGAGAGGGCGACCGGCCACACUGGGACUGAGACACGGCCCAGACUCCUACGGGAGGCAGCAGUGGGGAAUCUUGCACAAUGGGCGGAAGCCUGAUGCAGCGACGCCGCGUGAGGGAUGACGGCCUUCGGGUUGUAAACCUCUUUCAGCAGGGACGAAGCGUUUGUGACGGUACCUGCAGAAGAAGCGCCGGCCAACUACGUGCCAGCAGCCGCGGUAAGACGUAGGGCGCAAGCGUUGUCCGGAUUUAUUGGGCGUAAAGAGCUCGUAGGCGGCUUGUCGCGUCGACUGUGAAAACCCGUGGCUCAACUGCGGGCUUGCAGUCGAUACGGGCAGGCUAGAGUUCGGUAGGGGAGACUGGAAUUCCUGGUGUAGCGGUGAAAUGCGCAGAUAUCAGGAGGAACACCGGUGGCGAAGGCGGGUCUCUGGGCCGAUACUGACGCUGAGGAGCGAAAGCGUGGGGAGCGAACAGGAUUAGAUACCCUGGUAGUCCACGCUGUAAACGUUGGGCGCUAGGUGUGGGGGGCCUCUCCGGUUCUCUGUGCCGCAGCUAACGCAUUAAGCGCCCCGCCUGGGGAGUACGGCCGCAAGGCUAAAACUCAAAGGAAUUGACGGGGG